AACCUGGUUGAUCCUGCCAGUAGUCAUAUGCUUGUCUCAAAGACUAAGCCAUGCAUGUCUAAGUAUAAAUGGUAUACAGUAAAACUGCGAAUGGCUCAUUAAAACAGUUAUAGUUUAUUUGGUAAUCGAAUUUACAUGGAUAACCGUGGUAAUUCUAGAGCUAAUACAUACUGUAAAGCCCGACUUCUCGGAAGGGCCGUGUUUAUUAGAUAACAGACCAACAGCUUCGGCUAUUGUGGUGAAUCAUAGUAACUAAUCGGAUCGCAUGGGCUAGUCCCGCGACAAACCAUUCAAGUUUCUGCCCCAUCAGCUUUCGACGGUAGUGUAUUGGACUACCGUGGCUUUUACGGGUAACGGAGGAUUAGGGUUCGAUUCCGGAGAGGGAGCCUGAGAAACGGCUACCACAUCUAAGGAAGGCAGCAGGCGCGUAAAUUACCCAAUUCUGAUUCAGAGAGGUAGUGACAAGAAAUAACGGGUCGGGACUUUGUCCCGGGACUGCAAUGAGAUGAACUUAUACCCCCUUUUCGAGUAACCAUUGGAGGGCAAGUCUGGUGCCAGCAGCCGCGGUAAUUCCAGCUCCAAUAGCGUAUAUUAAAGUUGAUGCAGU
RNAcentral lists this ribosomal RNA (607 nucleotides) under uncultured marine eukaryote. Its description in RNAcentral is "SSU rRNA". It matches the Rfam family "Eukaryotic small subunit ribosomal RNA", at positions 1 to 619 of the family's 1831-position model. The record is from RNAcentral.